GACUCGGAGACUGCUGCAGUGCACUGGAAAAAUCGUGUUUAAUCUCCGUUUUAGAAAAUGAAAGAUUUGGGGGUGACAAACCUGCUUCAGGAGUGGGACUUCCCACAUUUAGUUCCAAUCUUUAGAGUUAAAUGUUGCAGAAGAUGAGCACGAAGAAGACACCUACUGGAUGCAAUAUUACUCAUCACCUGACAACAUUGUUGUUAAUGUGACGAACCUCGGUACCGAGAUAUGAGUUGACUAGAGGAAACCCGCGACCAAGCACAGCAGAAAUUCUUGACAAAUAUCUACAGCUUUUGGGAAUGAUUGAUCAAGACUUUGAUUUAACAAUUGAUGCAGCUCCUGGUGCCCUUUUCACAAUGUGGCCAAAGUUGUCCAGGCAGACUUUGGAAUUUGCGGAGAAGAUUAAUCCAGGGUAUAGAAAGAUCCUAGGGGCUGGAGUGGACCAGAAAAUGACGCAGAGUCAACAAUGAAGAAAAUUUGGCUUUCAGUACUUCCAUG
This is a long non-coding RNA of Lytechinus variegatus (green sea urchin), 501 nucleotides long. RefSeq lists it as uncharacterized. Lineage: Eukaryota; Metazoa; Echinodermata; Echinoidea; Temnopleuroida; Toxopneustidae. The record is from RefSeq and is a predicted model, not a curated record. The transcript has 4 exons.